Molecule: non-coding RNA, 21 nt
Filed under: Caenorhabditis elegans
Lineage: Eukaryota; Metazoa; Nematoda; Chromadorea; Rhabditida; Rhabditidae
Source: RNAcentral
UUAAUAGUUUUUAUCCGGACA